GACGAACGCUGGCGGCGUGCCUAAUACAUGCAAGUCGAACGAAGCUGUUUUAACUGGUGCUUGCACCGACUUAAACAACUGAGUGGCGAACGGGUGAGUAACACGUGGGUAACCUGCCCCAAAGCGGGGGAUAACAUUUGGAAACAGAUGCUAAUACCGCAUAACCACAGAAACCACAUGGUUUCUGUGUCAAAGAUGGUUUCGGCUAUCACUUUGGGAUGGACCCGCGGCGUAUUAGCUUGUUGGUAAGGUAAUGGCUUACCAAGGCAAUGAUACGUAGCCGAACUGAGAGGUUGAUCGGCCACAUUGGGACUGAGACACUGCCCAAACUCCUACGGGAGGCAGCAGUAGGGAAUCUUCCACAAUGGACGAAAGUCUGAUGGAGCAACGCCGCGUGAGUGAAGAAGGUUUUCGGAUCGUAAAACUCUGUUGUCAGAGAAGAACGUGUGCGAGAGUAACUGCUCGUGCAGUGACGGUAUCUGGCCAGAAAGCCACGGCUAACUACGUGCCAGCCGCCGCAGUAA
Molecule: ribosomal RNA, 524 nt
Filed under: uncultured bacterium
Lineage: Bacteria
Description: partial 16S ribosomal RNA
Rfam family: Bacterial small subunit ribosomal RNA
Source: RNAcentral